Molecule: ribosomal RNA, 464 nt
Filed under: uncultured bacterium
Lineage: Bacteria
Description: partial 16S ribosomal RNA
Rfam family: Bacterial small subunit ribosomal RNA
Source: RNAcentral
CUACGGGGGGCAGCAGUGGGGAAUAUUGGACAAUGGGGGAAACCCUGAUCCAGCAAUGCCGCGUGUGUGAAGAAGGCCUGCGGGUUGUAAAGCACUUUCGGUUGGGAGGACUGCUUCUAGCACUAAUAUUGUUGGAAGUUGACGUUACCUUCAGAAGAAGCACCGGCUAACUCCGUGCCAGCAGCCGCGGUAAUACGGAGGGUGCAGCGUUAAUCGGAAUUACUGGGCGUAAAGCGCGCGUAGGCGGCUAGAUCAGUCGUGUGUGAAAGCCCCGGGCUUAACCUGGGAACUGCAUCCGAUACUGUCUAACUUUCGUACAGGAGAGGAGAGUGGAAUUCCACAUGUAGCGGUGAAAUGCGUAGAUAUGUGGAGGAAGACCAAUGGCGAAGGCAGCUCUCUGGCCUGAUACUGACGCUGAGGUGCGAAAGCGUGGGGAGCAAACAGGAUUAGAUACCCCAGUAGUC